CUCUUCCCAGGUUUCAUUCAGCUCAGCAAUGAUCUUCUCCGAUUCCUAAGGGAGGAAGUCCACAGUUCAAGUGAAGACACUUAUGAUGUGACAGGCUAGGUCUGGGAAGGACAGCAAGAUGCCCUUUGUGGGUAUGAGGCAGAAUCUAAUACAAAGGAAGAGUAACAUGAACAUCCAAAAAUGCAAGACAUUAUUCCCAACAGCCACUUCUACAAAAGAAUAAAGCCACCAAAGCUGAAGCAAUCGGAGAAAUGGUAUCUGCAGGAAGGACUCUGAUCUCCUCAAGCAAGCUUUAAGAUCCCCACCCCCAACUGGAGAAAAGGCACAUCCUCACCUCCAAAGAUGGAGGAACACCAGGAGGAAUCUGAACAAACAGGCCUUAAUAGGUACCCACUCCC
This is a long non-coding RNA of Neofelis nebulosa (Clouded leopard), 398 nucleotides long. RefSeq lists it as uncharacterized. The record is from RefSeq and is a predicted model, not a curated record. The transcript has 3 exons. Lineage: Eukaryota; Metazoa; Chordata; Mammalia; Carnivora; Felidae.